Molecule: ribosomal RNA, 478 nt
Filed under: uncultured bacterium
Lineage: Bacteria
Description: partial 16S ribosomal RNA
Rfam family: Bacterial small subunit ribosomal RNA
Source: RNAcentral
GACGAACGCUGGCGGCGUGCUUAACACAUGCAAGUCGAACGGUAAGGCCCUUCGGGGUACACGAGUGGCGAACGGGUGAGUAACACGUGGGUGAUCUGCCCUGCACUUCGGGAUAAGCCUGGGAAACUGGGUCUAAUACCGGAUAGGACCACUGCCUGCAUGGGUGGUGGUGGAAAGCUUUUGCGGUGUGGGAUGGGCCCGCGGCCUAUCAGCUUGUUGGUGGGGUGAUGGCCUACCAAGGCGACGACGGGUAGCCGGCCUGAGAGGGUGACCGGCCACACUGGGACUGAGAUACGGCCCAGACUCCUACGGGAGGCAGCAGUGGGGAAUAUUGCACAAUGGGCGCAAGCCUGAUGCAGCAACGCCGCGUGAGGGAUGACGGCCUUCGAGUUGUAAACCUCUUUUAGUAGGGAAGAAGCGAAAGUGACGGUACCUGCAGAAAAAGCACCGGCUAACUACGUGCCAGCCGCCGCCGUAA